RNAcentral lists this ribosomal RNA (348 nucleotides) under Listeria monocytogenes. RNAcentral's name for it is "partial 23S ribosomal RNA". It matches the Rfam family "Bacterial large subunit ribosomal RNA", at positions 331 to 681 of the family's 2925-position model. The record is from RNAcentral. Lineage: Bacteria; Bacillati; Bacillota; Bacilli; Caryophanales; Listeriaceae. RNAcentral also lists the same sequence under 1 other name.
AAAUGAAGCGGUCUGGAAAGGCCCGCCAAAGACGGUAACAGCCCGGUAGUUGAAAUGGCUUUCCCUCCAGAGUGGAUCCUGAGUACGGCGGAACACGUGAAAUUCCGUCGGAAUCCGGGAGGACCAUCUCCCAAGGCUAAAUACUCCCUAGUGACCGAUAGUGAACCAGUACCGUGAGGGAAAGGUGAAAAGCACCCCGGAAGGGGAGUGAAACAGUUCCUGAAACCGUGUGCCUACAAGUAGUUAGAGCCCGUUAAUGGGUGAUAGCGUGCCUUUUGUAGAAUGAACCGGCGAGUUACGAUUUGUUGCAAGGUUAAGCGGAAAAAGCGGAGCCGUAGCGAAAGCGAG